AACGGACUUCAUAUGAAAGGCCAUGUAUAUGAGCAAUUUCUAUUUCGUUUGCGUAAGGUCACUGUGUCUGUGUUUUUUGUUCGUGCUUCGUUAAUCCCGUUGCUUCGCCACAUGUGGAACUUAGUCAUCACUUUGGUAGGUGUGUGUUAUUCUGUGGCAUAUUCAACUGAACGGCUUUGUUGGAGAUGUAUUUAGCGGGGAGCUAAUAAAUGUUCAGUGCGUUCUGUUUUAAACAUCUUUUGGCUACUCGUUAAUAAACUGAAAUUUGCCAUUUUUUCGUAACAACCUGAGGGACACUCUUUUUCACGACACACACGAUUGCUUGAAGAUUGAUUUUCACUAGACGUCAUUUGAAUGGUGCAGUUCCUAUCCGCAGCCCUGCAGUGUGCAAAAAAAGGCAAUGGAAAAAAUUGGUAGCUGCUAGUGGUGUUGAUCCGCACAAUGGUGGCUUCAUGUAAGCAAUCUUGAAAUGACCUAUCAACACUAAACUGUUAUUGAACAUAGGACUACAGCAGUAUUAAAAGACUUCCCCUACGGAAAUUGGGAGCUGUGGACUUUCUUUAAAUGACUCUUGCAUCAGAAAUAUUUUCCUGCUUCUUGGAACAAGAAACAUAGGUUGUCUUGAUGGCAAUGAUGUGUCAUUGGAAAGAUUGUAUAAAGAUGUCAAGGAGAAACCUAAAGUUGGAGCAUAAUACAUUUGUUUCCCGUUACUAGUUAUGUAUAACAGAUGCUUUCCAGGCAGACACCCAUCCACAGAGCCAUGGGAGAUAGAUGAUGUCACGGAACGCCGUUUGAUCCAUUUUUUUAUAGACAACUCUUAUCGCUAGCUGAUCGUUUAUGUAGCAAAAUAAAUAGAUAACUAGCACUGCCAUCUAACGGUAAAAAACGACACGAAUAGGAGGGAUUUUAAUAGACCACGCCUUCAACGAAGGAGGAGUCCGCUACAUAUUGAAUUUAUCGAUCGAUUGUUAGGCCCAUUUUCAAUCGCUACUGUACAGUCAAUGGCGGUAUGGCGGAGAUGCACAAUGGAACUUGAAAGUGGAUGCAUGUGCGACUUGAUGUGGCGUUGCAUGUGGGAGGCCCCGUUGGUAAUGUUUGCAGACUGGACAUUUGAUGAUAAGUGUGAAUAGUGGUAGUGCUUUGGUGCCUCAAGAGGGAAUCGCAGAACAUAGCCAUAGAGCUAGAAGUCAUUGAAGAUUUUAAAAUUGUUAUUUGAUUUUGUGUUGUUUCAGCAGUAGUAUGUUCUUCAACAAUCUGUUAUGUCCAACCAUGGAAUGAGUUGCAUGUGACUAAGUCAACCAAACGUGGCAACAACAAUUAGUCAGCAAUGGAAUUAGUCAGUGGAAAACAACACCAUGGUAUAGAAUAUAAUAUUAUACCAUGACAACACAUUCAUUCCUGAGGAUCGUUUUGAUUUAUCUAUGCAUAUUGUAUUUUAAUUUUUAUUGUUAUUAUUUUAAAAUUAAUAUCUGAGGUUUUUCUUUAGCAUGAUUGAAAUUUGCCAUGUUUUCAGGCCAACUGGAAGGAUUCCUCUUUUUCACAGAACUUUACCAUUUUCAUGGUAUACUUAAUUGCUUGUCAGUGGAUUGUCACUUGGCAUCAUUUGAAUGGUAUGGUCCAUAUCAGCAAUGUUUUGAUGCACUUCUUAAAUACACCAAUCCCUCAGAAAAUAUUCUAAUUGAAAUUAUGGAAAUUUCUGCACUUCAUGCAGAACUGCACAAUGAUGGGUUUGUAUAAACAAGCUUGAAAUGACAAACCAACAGUAUUUUUGGUUUGGGUUACACAUACAGUUCUAUGACAUGUUGAUGUUAGCUAAAUCAUUAUUAAUCAUAGGACUAGGUAGUAUGAAAUGAAAUAUCUUCUUUUGGAUGUUUGUGUCUAUGUAUUUGUUUGAGGUGACUCUUGAGGCAGGAAGCUUUUCCUGCUUCUUAUGAAAAGGGACACUGGAUGUCUUAAUGUCUAAUACCAACCAAGUGUCAUUGCAAAGAUAUGUCAAAGAUAUAUCAAUAUAGAUUAUAUUCUGAGUGAUGGUGACAUGGUAAAAAGAGAGAGCAGUAUGAAUAUUUGCUGCAUCAUUUACUUCUAUUAUUUAUAUCUUCAAGGUAUCUUACUGAUUUCUAUUGGUUUUAUUUGUGGAAAGAAUAUCUUGAGGGGGAGAAUUGGAUCACAAUUAACUAGAUGCUUUACUAUUCUAAAUGAGUUUAUCACAAAGAAUUGUUUACUCAUUCAUGUUCUGUUUCUGUAAUGUAGGUAGAGUAAUCGCAAUGCCGUGGUAGUAAUUCGCGAGAGAUAUGCCAAUAGGGUUUCGCUGUUUUCAAUUCGCAAUCGUAAUGGAUUCGAAGAGGAUAUUGAUGGAGUUUUGGUAUAAAAAAGUAUAAGUACAUGUUUGUUGGAAUUGAAAAACCGAAGAGUUCCGGAUCUUUUUACUAUCGCACAUGUUAUGUGGGUGUAAAACUAAAGGCUAAAAGAAGAAGAAUGAUUCAAAAAUUGUGGGAUAGAAUCAUCAAAGAAUUAUACUCUUCUAGGUAAUCCUUUCGGAUUCGAUUCCGCCGUUUGUGCUGCCCUUCUCCAUAAAGCACUUCUACAGAGUAACGACUCGUCGCGAGUGCAUGACAUCCAUAUUGAUAACUGUUUCUUGCGUAAAGACGAAUCCGAGCAAGUCGUCACUAGUUUACAGCAACUCGGGUUCAAUCUUCCGGUAAUUUGAGAUACUUUUCUUUACCGUCCAGAAUCUUAUAAUUGGCCAAAAUUUGAUACGAGAUUAAUUGAUAUGUCGUCCUGUCACAUCUCAAAUUCUAUGGUUAAUAAUUCUUGUUCUAUAACCGAGUUCUUUUCCAGACAGUGGCUUCUCAUUUCUAUUGUCAUACCAGCGAUCAGAUUUGAUGUUUCGAAUUGUUUUGGGUUGUAAAAGCAAGAUUGACUUUCUACGAUGCUUCCACCAACGUGCAUGGUCGCCUAACUUUGUCGUUGUGUCGGACUGUAAAUCCGGAAGAAAAACGUCGAAUUAUUGACGAUAUGUUUGUCAAAGUGAUAGAUAGAACGGCUAACGAUUUAAAUGUCACUUGGGAUAAUCUACUUUUCGUAAAAGCUUUGAGACCGUAUUUAAUUGAGUCCGCUUCGCAUAUGGCUUCUUCGCGCGCUGAUGCCAUAAAGGCUCAUCAUAACGAUUCCGAAAUGGCUCGUUAUUCGGAAGUUCGUUUUGUUUGCGCAUUUACGGCCGUGUAGUGGAACCUCUUAAAGACUUCCAUAGAGAUGAAGUAAGGUCCUAAGUAUUAUACCAUGGUUUUACCUACAAAUGUUAAGCGUUUCGUGCUGCAACUAGUAGUUGAUAUUCUAGGAUGUUAUGCCUAAAAUUGAAAUUCAGCUAUCAGAGAUUAGCAAAAUUCAAGUGGAUACUCUAGAUGGCGUUGAUUGUGCGUCUAUGAUGAAGAUCAUGAGUGACAAGUUAAAUGGAUGUUUGUUACGUUACCCUGUUUUAUGUGUUUCAAAGGAUUUUUCGUCAAAAAAACUACGAUUGCAAUUUUUCUGUGUUGGUGUUUCGCCUUGUCAGCUAUGCCAGCUGCUUAACCAGCAGCCUGCAUUCCUGCUAUCAAUGUACCACAAGAGAUCCUGACACUUUGAGAAUGCCACUAUUGCUUACAUCAAGAUCACUUUCCAGUUCAAGUACUGUUAAUGGACCUCAAGCCUUUUGUUUAAGCUUAGUGAUGUGUUCUCUCGUGAGUCAACGACAGAGUCUUCAUCUACUUUGUGUUGCUAACCAUCAGCCCUGAGUAUCCUAGGUAUCUAGUUAUUCAAGUUUCUCUGAUUAGCCAACCAUCAUCCAAACCCUUCAGCUCUUCAUUGUGGCUUAUCUUCCUCUCUUCUUAAUCUGCUGAAUUCCAACAUUAAAAAAGGUUCAUCAUCAUUGCCUUUCCAUGCCAGCUCACAUGGAUAGGCUUUAACAACAUCUCCAUUUUUUGGACUGCAAAUAUUCAUCUUCCUUCGGUACGACACUGCCGUUUUGACAAUUUCGGUAGUUUCGCCCCUAGUGGACCACACACAACUACAUUUUCUUCGUCUUCCUGUCGUUGUUGUCUACGACUUCACCUCAUCGCUGUCUUCGUUGACGUCUUCGCCUUCAUCUCCAUCUCUUCGUCUUGGUCAUCUUCGCCUUCAUCUCCGUCUCGUCGUCUUGGUCAUCUUCGCGUUCAUCUCCGUCUCGUCGUCUUGGUCGUCUUCGCCUUCAUUUCCGUCUCGUCGUCUUUGCCGUCUUUGUCUACGCCAUCACCUCGUCGCCGGCUUCUCUUUCGCCCUUCACGUAGGGAAUUCACCGUGGAUCGUCGCUCUGGUAUUGUUUUAUUUUGCAUUGUUAUGUUUAAGUUAACCCGUUGGCUGCCACCCCGUUUGCGUCCCAUUUUUUUUGGUAGCUUGUAGGGACCGGCCGCAAUGGCCUUCGCCGCAAGGCGCCUUAGGCA
This 4454-nucleotide long non-coding RNA is filed under the name Daphnia magna. RNAcentral's name for it is "uncharacterized LOC116936608, transcript variant X5". Lineage: Eukaryota; Metazoa; Arthropoda; Branchiopoda; Diplostraca; Daphniidae. The record is from RNAcentral.